This 700-nucleotide ribosomal RNA is filed under the name uncultured beta proteobacterium. RNAcentral describes it as "bacterial SSU rRNA". It matches the Rfam family "Bacterial small subunit ribosomal RNA", at positions 79 to 776 of the family's 1533-position model. The record is from RNAcentral. Lineage: Bacteria; Pseudomonadati; Pseudomonadota; Betaproteobacteria.
UUGCACCUGGUGGCGAGUGGCGAACGGGUGAGUAAUACAUCGGAACGUACCUUAUCGUGGGGGAUAACGCAGCGAAAGCUGUGCUAAUACCGCAUACGCCCUGAGGGGGAAAGCGGGGGAUCGAAAGACCUCGCGCGAUUAGAGCGGCCGAUGCCUGGUUAGCUUGUUGGUGGGGUAAAAGCCCACCAAGGCGACGAUCAGUAGCUGGUCUGAGAGGACGAUCAGCCACACUGGGACUGAGACACGGCCCAGACUCCUACGGGAGGCAGCAGUGGGGAAUUUUGGACAAUGGGGGAAACCCUGAUCCAGCAAUGCCGCGUGAGUGAAGAAGGCCUUCGGGUUGUAAAGCUCUUUUGUCAGGGAAGAAACACCGGCUCUAACACAGUCCGGGAAUGACGGUACCUGAAGAAUAAGCACCGGCUAACUACGUGCCAGCAGCCGCGGUAAUACGUAGGGUGCGAGCGUUAAUCGGAAUUACUGGGCGUAAAGCGUGCGCAGGCGGUUAUACAAGACAGGCGUGAAAUCCCCGGGCUUAACCUGGGAAUGGCGCCUGUGACUGUAUAGCUAGAGUGUGUCAGAGGGGGGUAGAAUUCCACGUGUAGCAGUGAAAUGCGUAGAUAUGUGGAGGAAUACCAAUGGCGAAGGCAGCCCCCUGGGAUAACACUGACGCUCAUGCACGAAAGCGUGGGGAGCAAACAGG